RNAcentral lists this ribosomal RNA (1109 nucleotides) under uncultured organism. RNAcentral's name for it is "bacterial SSU rRNA". It matches the Rfam family "Bacterial small subunit ribosomal RNA", at positions 198 to 1338 of the family's 1533-position model. The record is from RNAcentral.
GAGGAAAGGCUCAGGCGCUCUGGGAGGGGCUUGCGGCCCAUCAGCUAGUUGGUAGGGUAAAGGCCUACCAAGGCGAAGACGGGUAGGGGGUGUGAGAGCACGGNCCCCCACAAUGGGACUGAAACACGGCCCAUACUCCUACGGGAGGCAGCAGCAGGGAAUAUUGCACAAUAGGCGAAAGCCUGAUGCAGCGACGCCGCGUGAGUGAAGAAGGCCUUCGGGUCGUAAAGCUCUUUUGUAGGGGAAGAGGGAGGACGGUACCCUAAGAAGAAGCGUCGGCUAACUACGUGCCAGCAGCCGCGGUAAGACGUAGGACGCGAGCGUUAUCCGGAAUUACUGGGCGUAAAGGGCCAGCAGGCGGCUUGGUAAGUUGUGCGUGAAAGCCUCGUGCUCAACGCGAGGAAGCCGGACAAUACUGUCAAGCUAGAGGGCAUCAGAGGGGAGUGGAAUUCCCGGAGUAGCGGUAAAAUGCGCAGAUAUCGGGAGGAACACCGAUGGCGAAGGCAGCUCCCUGGGAUGCACCUGACGCUAAGAGGCGAAAGCUAGGGGAGCGAACAGGAUUAGAGACCCUGGUAGUCCUAGCUGUAAACGCUGGGUGCUAGGUGUGGGACGUAGAAGUUCCGUGCCGGAGCAAACGCGAUAAGCACCCCGCCUGGGAAUUACGGUCGCAAGGCUAAAACUCAAACGAAUUGACGGGGGGCCCCGCACAAGCAGCGGAGCGUGUGGUUCAAUUCGAUGCUACACGAAGAACCUUACCUGGGUUUGACAUGUACGUGGUACGAAGGCGAAAGCCUAAGGACCCCUUCGGGGAGCGUACACAGGUGCUGCAUGGCUGUCGUCAGCUCGUGCCGUGAGGUGUCGGGUUAAGUCCCGUAACGAGCGCAACCCUUGCCCUUAGUUACAAGUGUCUAAGGGGACUCCCGGCGGGAAGCCGGAGGAAGGUGGGGAUGACGUCAAGUCAGCAUGGCCCUUAUGUCCAGGGCUACACACACGCUACAAUGGUCAGUACAAAGGGUAGCGAAGUCGUCGAGGCGGAGCGAAUCUCAACAAAGCUGAUCGUAGUUCGGAGUGCAGGCUGCAACCCGCCUGCAUGAAGCUGGAGUUGCUAG